UUUUCCGUGUUGAAUUUUGCUAAAACAAGUAAAUGAGCGGAAUGACCAGUUUUGCCUGUCCGAUCAUACACGCAGCAAUGGCGUAAGACGUAUUGAUCUUUCAGGCAGUUAGCGGGCUGCGGGUUGCAGUCCUUACCGGUAGAUGGAAUCUUCUCUGGAGAGUUUUUCCCAGGCUGUUCCCCUGAUAAUUGCGCUGUAUUUUCCACAGGAAAUGCAGGCAACCGACACACUGCGCCUCUUAAGCGAGCGACAACCGUGAGGUUGGCGACGCGUAAUAGACUCGAGGCCAUCGGUUCUCCCCGGAAAGGCAAAAUCUUGCCCGCAGCUUAGUCGUCAA
Molecule: non-coding RNA, 337 nt
Organism: Enterobacter cloacae S611
Lineage: Bacteria; Pseudomonadati; Pseudomonadota; Gammaproteobacteria; Enterobacterales; Enterobacteriaceae
Source: Rfam